This 333-nucleotide unclassified non-coding RNA is filed under the name soil metagenome. RNAcentral's name for it is "partial contains 5.8S ribosomal RNA, internal transcribed spacer 2, and large subunit ribosomal RNA". The stretch from base 1 to 120 matches the Rfam family "5.8S ribosomal RNA", at positions 35 to 154 of the family's 154-position model. The record is from RNAcentral.
GAUGAAGAACGCAGCGAAAUGCGAUAAGUAAUGUGAAUUGCAGAAUCCAGUGAAUCAUCGAAUCUUUGAACGCACAUUGCGCCCGCCAGUAUUCUGGCGGGCAUGCCUGUUCGAGCGUCAUUUCAACCAUCAAGCCCUGCUUGCGUUGGGGUCCUGCGGCUGCCCGCAGGCCCUGAAAACCAGUGGCGGGCUCGCUAGUCACACCGAGCGCAGUAAUACAUCUCGCUUUGGGCGUGCGGCGGGUUCUUGCCGUUAAACACCCCCUUUUUACCAAGGUUGACCUCGGAUCAGGUAGGAAUACCCGCUGAACUUAAGCAUAUCAAUAACGGAGGA